Molecule: ribosomal RNA, 349 nt
Filed under: uncultured bacterium
Lineage: Bacteria
Description: bacterial SSU rRNA
Rfam family: Bacterial small subunit ribosomal RNA
Source: RNAcentral
GGUAACGCUCGGCGGGCGGCACAUAAGACGAUGCAAGUCGAACGGAAGUCGGUUAUAAAAGUGGAAGUUGAAGAUUUAUCUGAUUGAAAUUUUAUAACAAUGGCUUUAGUGGCGGACUGGUGAGUAACGCGUAAGCAAUCUGCCUAUUAGAGGGGAAUAACAAUGAGAAAUCAUUGCUAAUACCGCAUAUGCCAUAGGUACCACAUGGUGCUAGUGGGAAAGGAGCAAUCCGCUAAUAGAUGAGCUUGCGUCUGAUUAGUUAGUUGGUGGGGUAACGGCCUACCAAGGCGACGAUCAGUAGCCGGACUGAGAGGUUGAACGGCCACAUUGGGACUGAGAUACGGCCCAG